Molecule: ribosomal RNA, 249 nt
Filed under: uncultured bacterium
Lineage: Bacteria
Description: partial 16S ribosomal RNA
Rfam family: Bacterial small subunit ribosomal RNA
Source: RNAcentral
GACGAACCGUGCGAACGUUAUUCGGAAUCACUGGGCUUAAAGCGCGUGUAGGCGGGUGGGAACGUCGGCCGCUGAAAUCCCCGGCUCAACCGGGGAAGGGCGCCGAAACGGCCCGCCUGGAGGGACGUAGGGGAGCUGGAACUUCCGGUGGAGCGGUGAAAUGCGUUGAGAUCGGAAGGAACGCCCGUGGCGAAAGCGAGCUCCUGGACGUUUCUGACGCUGAGACGCGAAAGCCAGGGAGCGAACGGG